This 468-nucleotide ribosomal RNA is filed under the name uncultured bacterium. RNAcentral describes it as "partial 16S ribosomal RNA". It matches the Rfam family "Bacterial small subunit ribosomal RNA", at positions 28 to 507 of the family's 1533-position model. The record is from RNAcentral.
GACGAACGCUGGCGGCGUGCUUAACACAUGCAAGUCGAACGGAAAGGCCCUGCUUUUGUGGGGUGCUCGAGUGGCGAACGGGUGAGUAACACGUGAGUAACCUGCCCUUGACUUUGGGAUAACUUCAGGAAACUGGGGCUAAUACCGGAUAGGAGCUCCUGCUGCAUGGUGGGGGUUGGAAAGUUUCGGCGGUUGGGGAUGGACUCGCGGCUUAUCAGCUUGUUGGUGGGGUAGUGGCUUACCAAGGCUUUGACGGGUAGCCGGCCUGAGAGGGUGACCGGCCACAUUGGGCCUGAGAUACGGCCCAGACUCCUACGGGAGGCAGCAGUGGGGAAUAUUGCACAAUGGGUGGAAGCCUGAUGCAGCAACGCCGCGUGCGGGAUGACGGCCUUCGGGUUGUAAACCGCUUUCGCCUGUGACGAAGCGUGAGUGACGGUAAUGGGUAAAGAAGCACCGGCUAACUACGUG